This 2068-nucleotide long non-coding RNA is filed under the name Macaca fascicularis (crab-eating macaque). RNAcentral's name for it is "lncRNA (ENSMFAG00000050870.1)". The record is from RNAcentral. Lineage: Eukaryota; Metazoa; Chordata; Mammalia; Primates; Cercopithecidae.
UUUUUUUCUUUUUCUUUUUCUUUUUUUUUUUUUGAGACAGAGUCUCCCUCUGUCACCAGGCUGGAGGGCAGUGGCGUGAUCUCUGCUCACUGCAACCUCCACCUCCCAGGCUGAAGUGAUUCUCCUGCCUCAGCCUCCCGAGUGGUUGGGACUACAGGCGCACGCCACCAUGCCCAGGUAAUUUUUGUAUUUUUAGUAGUGACUGGGUUUCACCAUGUUGGCCAGGAUGGUCUCGAUCUCUUGACCUUGUGAUCCGCCCGCCUUGGCCUCCCAAAGUGCUAGGAUGACAGGCAUAAGCCACUGCGCCCAGCCAAUAUUUGUAGUUUCUGUAACUCACCUUAAGGAGGAGGAAUUUCAGUUUCUAUGGCCUGCCUUGCAGGAGAAAAAUGGGAGAAAGAAGGGGGGCAGGAGAAGGUCAGAGAGAGACUUGGCUUCUGAGGCUCUUCCAGUGUCCUUUGGUUCAAAGUACUCAGCACGCCCAAGUGUCAUCUUUUUAGGCAUCGCUUUCUGACCCCUAACAGCACCUUCACUCAGAUGACCACUGGGCAUCUCAAACAUAACCCAGACCAAGCACCGGCCACUUUCCACAUCUCAGAUAAUGACAACUCUCCUAGGUGCUCAAGCCAAAACUGUGCAGUCUUUCCUGCUCUUUCCCUCACUCCCUACAUCCAACUCCUCAGCAAAUCCUGUGUUCUCUACCUUCAAAAGCCAUUCUAAAUCUGGCUGCCUCUCCCUCCCUGCUCUCACCGCCCUUGUGACAUCUCGCCUGGAUAGUGGCAGCAGGCUCCUCACUGGUCUCCAGCUUCCACUGACAUUGAUUCUCGCCACAGCAGCGAGAGUACGCCUUGAAAUCUCUCAGGUCCCUCCUCACAGCCCUGUCUAGACUAACAGCCCUCCCAGAUUUACAGAGCCCCAUCCCACCCCUUCCACCCCCACCUCCUACUGUUUGCCACCCCCUCCCCAGGCCUCCCAGCCUCACUGGCCUUCUUACACAGCAGGCCUGAGGCCACUGCGCUGACUGUUCCGUCUGCCUGGAAUUGGCAUGACUGGCUCCCUCAUUUCCUUCAAGUAUUUGUCCAAUGUUACUUUCUCAGUAAGGCCUACCCUGACCACUCUAUUUGCAAUUGCAACCUCCCUACUCCCACAAUUUCCCGUCUCCCUUAUCCUCCUCUGUUUUUUCCGUGCCACUUAUUACCUUCUAACACAUUUAUUAUUAUUAUAUAGUAUUAACUGAACAAAAUUUAGUAGGGGAGACAGGCAAUAAACAAGAAAAUAAAAGCAUGAGCAUAGGAGAGUUUACUCUAGCAGUGAGUGCUCUGAUGGAAAUAACACCCCAGGGAUGGGACACAGACUGCAGGGCAGGUUGCCUUACAAUGGUCCCAGAGGGGACCUCUGAGCAGAGACUCAAAUCUGCGUCCAGAGGCAUCCUGAGGAGUGGAGCUGCGGCUGGGGGUGGGAAGGAAGGCCAUUCUAGGCUGCAGGAACUGUAAGGGCAAAGGCUCUGAGGUGGGAGCCAAGUUCAUGGGCAGAUGUUUGAGGACACCUCCGGCUUCCAGGGCCUUCCAGAAGCUCUAGUCUCUUGGGUUUGGUUGUGCAUUCCCGAGACCUUCACCGCAGGCCGCCUCCUGGACCCACUAGGGCAGAGCCUGGGGGCUGCUGGUGGGCUUCAGGCCAGGGAAGCAGAAAUGGGUAAUUUCCAGAGGCAGAAAUCAGCCGACCCCGGUGGGCCGGUGGGUGGCCAAAAAAGCUUGACCGGCCCAAAAAGCUUGACCAGCCCUCGCGGGCUGUGUAGGAGCCCGCCCUUAGGAGGUGCCCAGAGCGAGACGUCCCUGGUUUGGCUCUGCCGGGGAAGUAGGCCUAGCAGGGAGAGGGGGACCAGAGAGGAAGAGAUGGACUGAGUUUUCCGGACGGUGGGCCGGGACCGAGGCCCGCGGACCAUCUGAGGGGGACCUCUGGGUUCGAGGCCGCCCGCACCGACCAGUUCUGUGGCUCGGGCAGUUCAACGCCCUCUCGGGCCUCAGUUUCCCGCCCUCGCUGAUCCCGAGGCAGCCUCGGAGAUCCCGGGCCG